This 497-nucleotide ribosomal RNA is filed under the name uncultured bacterium. RNAcentral describes it as "partial 16S ribosomal RNA". It matches the Rfam family "Bacterial small subunit ribosomal RNA", at positions 28 to 507 of the family's 1533-position model. The record is from RNAcentral.
GAUGAACGCUGGCGGCGUGCCUAAUACAUGCAAGUCGAGCGAACAGACGAGGAGCUUGCUCCUCUGACGUUAGCGGCGGACGGGUGAGUAACACGUGGAUAACCUACCUAUAAGACUGGGAUAACUUCGGGAAACCGGAGCUAAUACCGGAUAAUAUAUUGAACCGCAUGGUUCAAUAGUGAAAGACGGUUUUGCUGUCACUUAUAGAUGGAUCCGCGCCGCAUUAGCUAGUUGGUAAGGUAACGGCUUGCCAAGGCGACGAUGCGUAGCCGACCUGAGAGGGUGAUCGGCCACACUGGAACUGAGACACGGUCCAGACUCCUACGGGAGGCCGCAGUAGGGAAUCUUCCGCAAUGGGCGAAAGCCUGACGGAGCAACGCCGCGUGAGUGAUGAAGGUCUUCGGAUCGUAAAACUCUGUUAUUAGGGAAGAACAAAUGUGUAAGUAACUAUGCACGUCUUGACGGUACCUAAUCAGAAAGCCACGGCUAACUACGUG